RNAcentral lists this signal recognition particle RNA (267 nucleotides) under Fidelibacterota bacterium. Its description in RNAcentral is "Candidatus Marinimicrobia bacterium signal recognition particle sRNA large type". It matches the Rfam family "Bacterial large signal recognition particle RNA". From Rfam's summary of the family: The signal recognition particle (SRP) is a universally conserved ribonucleoprotein involved in the co-translational targeting of proteins to membranes. Archaeal SRP consists of a 7S RNA and homologues of the eukaryotic SRP19 and SRP54 proteins. Lineage: Bacteria; Pseudomonadati; Fidelibacterota. The record is from RNAcentral.
UCGUGCUAGAUGGAGAGUUAGCGGUGCUCUGUAACCUGCAAUCCGCUAUAGCAGGGUUUAAGUCCAUAGAGCGGCUUAAUNNACAUUAAGUNUAUAAAGUACGAAGUGUUGAUAUUUUAGCCCAUCUCAAUAAAAUAUCAUUGAAACCCGUCAGGCCCGGAAGGGAGCAGCGGUAGAUGAAUUAUUUUGUGUGCUGAUGGAUAACUAAAAUUGAGNUUACGGCUUUCAUAUGUUUUAUGAUGAAUUAUGUCAAUCUAUGGUGCACGA